GUACACGCUGUGACUAGCAUAUCAAUAAGCGGAGGAAAAGAAACUAACAAGGAUUCCCCUAGUAACGGCGAGUGAAGCGGGAAGAGCCUCAAAUUUGAAAUCUUAAAGGGUUUCCCUUUACGAAUUGUAGUUUAAAGAAGUGUUUUCUGUUGAGGUUUUGGUAAAAGUUCUUUGGAAUAGGACAUCAUAGAGGGUGAGAAUCCCGUAUUUGACCUUUACUUUCAACUUUGUGAUACACUUUCAAAGAGUCGGAUUGUUUGGGAAUGCAGUCCAAAAUGGGUGGUAAACUUUCAUCUAAAGCUAAAUAUUGGCGAGAGACCGAUAGCGAACAAGUACCGUGAGGGAAAGAUGAAAAGAACUUUGAAAAGAGAGUUAAACAGUACGUGAAAUUGUCAAAAGGGAAGCGUUUGACACCAGUGUUGUUUUUCUGAAAAUCAAUUAAAGAACUGUUUAUGCUAAGCUGUUUAGACUUUAUCAGCUAAUCUGUUUAGUUUUGAGCUUUUCUUUAAUGCACUUUUCAGUUAACAAGUCAACAUCAAUUUCUUUUGCUGUAAAAAAGCUUGAGGAAGGUGGCUUGAGAUUCGUCUUAAGUGUUUAUAGCCUCUUGCCUAUGCAGUCGGAGAGAUUGAGGUCUGCAGCGUAGAUCCUUCGGGGCUAAAUGCAUUUGUGCUAAGUUAUAGCAUUUUAUAGACAACUUGUUGACUAUGAUUUGUCUUGUAGCUUACUCGCUUAUGUUAUUUUACCUACGCUUAGGAUGUUGACGCGCGUGUGUGCGUG
Molecule: ribosomal RNA, 777 nt
Filed under: uncultured Neocallimastigales
Lineage: Eukaryota; Fungi; Neocallimastigomycota; Neocallimastigomycetes; Neocallimastigales
Description: partial large subunit ribosomal RNA
Rfam family: Eukaryotic large subunit ribosomal RNA
Source: RNAcentral